This 253-nucleotide ribosomal RNA is filed under the name uncultured bacterium. Its description in RNAcentral is "partial 16S ribosomal RNA". It matches the Rfam family "Bacterial small subunit ribosomal RNA", at positions 524 to 776 of the family's 1533-position model. The record is from RNAcentral.
UACGUAGGGGGCAAGCGUUGUCCGGAAUCAUUGGGCGUAAAGAGCGUGUAGGCGGUUCGGUAAGUCGGCUGUGAAAGUCCAGGGCUCAACCCUGGGAUGCCGGUCGAUACUGCCGGACUAGAGUUCGGAAGAGGCGAGUGGAAUUCCCGGUGUAGCGGUGAAAUGCGCAGAUAUCAGGAGGAACACCGGUGGCGAAGGCGGCUUGCUGGGCCUUACCUGACGCUGAGGAGCGAAAGCGUGGGGAGCGAACAGG